Long non-coding RNA from Diabrotica virgifera virgifera (western corn rootworm), 399 nucleotides. RefSeq lists it as uncharacterized. The record is from RefSeq and is a predicted model, not a curated record. NCBI's taxonomy places the organism in Eukaryota, Metazoa, Arthropoda, Insecta, Coleoptera, Chrysomelidae. The transcript is spliced from 2 exons.
GAAAGUUGUAGGCGGUUUCUCUGUUCCUUAGUUUUGCGACGUCAUAUAGUGUGGCAACGACCACUAGAACGUAGUUGAUUUGGUUGCGUGUUCUGUCGUUUGGAGAGAUCUAUGUUUCUUUGUGGAUAUUCUUGUGGUCGAAGAGAAUAGCAACACUAAAAUGAAACUGGGCAGGUCACGUGGCUCGAAUGACAUGAAGACGACAUAGGAAUUGGAUGCAAGAGGAACAAGAUCGAAACAGAUGAAAAAAUUAUGAGGGAUCAAUUAUAAUUAUGAGAAAUAUGUCCAGCAGUGGGCAAGCCAAAAUUAAAUGAUGUAUAUUUGUAUAUUAUGUGUUGAUUUUCUUUACUAUGUGAAUGUAUCUGGAUAAUGCGAUUAUUAAAGAAUUAGUUUUUAUUA